Trematomus bernacchii (emerald rockcod) is the source of this 1280-nucleotide long non-coding RNA. RefSeq lists it as uncharacterized. The record is from RefSeq and is a predicted model, not a curated record. NCBI's taxonomy places the organism in Eukaryota, Metazoa, Chordata, Actinopteri, Perciformes, Nototheniidae. The transcript is spliced from 2 exons.
CCCGCUCACAUUUCUCCACCCAUUGUCCAGAGAGAAAGUCGGCAGCAUUUUCAGGCUUUCACUGAAAUCACUUACAUUCAUGGACAAAAGCAAAUCACGUCUAUGAAUUUAAAGGAACUUCACCUAAUUCAAUUUCCCCUGAGAUCUGAGUCCCUGAUUCAAAACUGAGGAGUGAGAAUAAAGAAGCUGCAUACAAAAUCACUUUGGGACAUCUGAAAAAAGGAACUAAAACCAACCAUGACAACCAAGAUGAAAACGCUUGAUCCUUCAACUCUAUCCGAUGUCACCUCUACUGUCAGCUACGACCCUAAAUCUGAGAUGGUGACCUUACCAGGAGGGGUUGUGUCAGUGGCGGGCAUCACCGUGGUGACCGGCGGCGUGGAGCUGUCUUGUGGAUCCUGCAUGCUGGCCUUUGGUUUUUGGGGAACUCUGAUCGGCUUCAGUUGUGUGGCGGUGGGGAUUUGGGACCAACUGAACCUCUCUAAGGGAGGAACGUCGCACUUACUGUGGCUGGGAUGUGUGAUUCUGGCCCUCAGUUUCGUGGUGGUGGGAGGUGUGGUGGUAUUUUAUCUCCUGACAAAGAAGAAGAGAGAGAACACAAGAGCGGAGAGAGAGGAUGGAAAAGAGGUUCUUGUAGAGAGUGGGAGGGUAAUUAAAAAAGUCACAGUUUAAUUAAGAAUUAUUGACAGGAUACAACAGAAAUCCAUGAAAAAUCUGCACACAAAUCUGACUGUAAUUUAGUGGUUCCCAACCUUUGUUGUCAGACAUAACCCCCAAGGUCAGGUGAACUCACCCCUUCAUCUACACUACCUGUGAUGUUCAAUUUGUGUUAAUUUGAACCAAUUUGAAACUGGAUUAUUUGUAAGUGUCAUAGCAAUGGUUGGAGCUGAAUGUUUAUCCAUUACUUUUAGCUAUUAUUUCAACCAUUUAUGUACUACUCCUAGCUAACUAUAUGCUAGCUUUGCAACUACUUUUAGACAUUUUAAUAACGUGAUUAUGUUUUAAAGGUGACGUAUGUAUUUUGGUAAUCAAAUCAUAAUUUAUAUCUUUGUAUUUAAAUAGGUUGAGCUACUUCACUAUGUUUCCCUUUACCCAUUGGAAACAGCAGUCACACUCAGCAGCACUACUCUAUAUAGUAGCAUAGCACUAAGUAUUAGCCAACUCCUUUCCACUACACUGUUUUUUAUUGACGCCUGCAUUUUUCUUUUGUUGUCAAUGCUGCAAUUUACAUGUAUGCAGGCGGACCAUGUUGAGUAUGUAAUAAAUGGAGUACAUGUUAA